UAUGCGCUGCGGCCUUCUCGACGAGGGAGACGACGUCGCCCAUGCCGAGGAUGCGGCCCGCAAUACGCGAAGGAUGGAAGUCUUCCAGCGCAUCGGUCUUUUCACCGGUGCCGAUCAGCUUGAUCGGCUUUCCGGGAAAGGGGCCGCAGCACCGCCACGUCCGUCGCCGUCGACGCGGGUCAGCACGAUGCCGGUGAGGCCGACGCGCUGAUCGAACGCGCGCGCGAGAUUGACGGCGUCCUGACCGGUG
Molecule: unclassified non-coding RNA, 250 nt
Filed under: Hevea brasiliensis (rubber tree)
Lineage: Eukaryota; Viridiplantae; Streptophyta; Magnoliopsida; Malpighiales; Euphorbiaceae
Source: RNAcentral